This 1345-nucleotide ribosomal RNA is filed under the name uncultured bacterium. Its description in RNAcentral is "bacterial SSU rRNA". It matches the Rfam family "Bacterial small subunit ribosomal RNA", at positions 28 to 1380 of the family's 1533-position model. The record is from RNAcentral.
GACGAACUUUGGCGGCGUGCUUAACACAUGCAAGUCGAACGGAAAGGCCCUGCUUUUGUGGGGUGCUCGAGUGGCGAACGGGUGAGUAACACGUGAGUAACCUGCCCUUGACUUUGGGAUAACUUCAGGAAACUGGGGCUAAUACCGGAUAGGAGCUCCUGCUGCAUGGUGGGGGUUGGAAAGUUUCGGCGGUUGGGGAUGGACUCGCGGCUUAUCAGCUUGUUGGUGGGGUAGUGGCUUACCAAGGCUUUGACGGGUAGCCGGCCUGAGAGGGUGACCGGCCACAUUGGGACUGAGAUACGGCCCAGACUCCUACGGGAGGCAGCAGUGGGGAAUAUUGCACAAUGGGCGGAAGCCUGAUGCAGCGACGCCGCGUGCGGGAUGACGGCCUUCGGGUUGUAAACCGCUUUCGCCUGUGACGAAGCGUGAGUGACGGUAAUGGGUAAAGAAGCACCGGCUAACUACGUGCCAGCAGCCGCGGUGAUACGUAGGGUGCGAGCGUUGUCCGGAUUUAUUGGGCGUAAAGGGCUCGUAGGUGGUUGAUCGCGUCGGAAGUGUAAUCUUGGGGCUUAACCCUGAGCGUGCUUUCGAUACGGGUUGACUUGAGGAAGGUAGGGGAGAAUGGAAUUCCUGGUGGGGCGGUGGAAUGCGCAGAUAUCAGGAGGAACACCAGUGGCGAAGGCGGUUCUCUGGGCCUUUCCUGACGCUGAGGAGCGAAAGCGUGGGGAGCGAACAGGCUUAGAUACCCUGGUAGUCCACGCUGUAAACGGUGGGUACUAGGUGUGGGGUCCAUUCCACGGGUUCCGUGCCGUAGCUAACGCUUUAAGUACCCCGCCUGGGGAGUACGGCCGCAAGGCUAAAACUCAAAGGAAUUGACGGGGCCCCGCACAAGCGGCGGAGCAUGCGGAUUAAUUCGAUGCAACGCGUAGAACCUUACCUGGGUUUGACAUGGAUCGGGAGUGCUCAGAGAUGGGUGUGCCUCUUUUGGGGUCGGUUCACAGGUGGUGCAUGCCUGUCGUCAGCUCGUGUCGUGAGAUGUUGGGUUAAGUCCCGCAACGAGCGCAACCCUUGUUCACUGUUGCCAGCACGUUAUGGUGGGGACUCAGUGGAGACCGCCGGGGUCAACUCGGAGGAAGGUGGGGAUGACGUCAAGUCCUCAUGCCCCUUAUGUCCAGGGCUUCACGCAUGCUACAAUGGCUGGUACAGAGAGUGGCGAGCCUGUGAGGGUGAGCGAAUCUCGGAAAGCCGGUCUCAGUUCGGAUUGGGGUCUGCAACUCGACCUCAUGAAGUCGGAGUCGCUAGUAAUCGCAAAUCAGCAACGCUGCGGUGAAUACGUUCCCGGGGC